This 1790-nucleotide long non-coding RNA is filed under the name Mus pahari (shrew mouse). RNAcentral describes it as "lncRNA (MGP_PahariEiJ_G0002743.1)". The record is from RNAcentral. Lineage: Eukaryota; Metazoa; Chordata; Mammalia; Rodentia; Muridae.
GUCCUGCAAAAGGGGCCAGGCCCACGGGCAGGCACGACCAGAGGUCAGCUGCCCUGCAGAGAGAGGGGGAGAGAGACCUGGCCCACGAGCACACGCAACUAGGACCAAGUGUCCUGCAAAGGAAGAAAACAGACAUACAGGCACGCGCGGCCAGAGACCAGAUGUCUUGCAAAGGGAGCGACUCAGCUAGCUUUGGGUACACUGGGCCAGCUCAAAACCGGCUAGCAGAUACGACCCAGGCAGGCGUUAUGAAGGAUUUAGGGGCCAGGCCGGCGCAACCUUCGCCACAAACUCGGUCUCCCGCCCACCCCACCGCCGCUGCCUGUGACCAGGGGGCGCUCCCCGACCCAAUCAUCAGAGUAUCACUGCUCAGAUCAGACAGGCCUGCAGCUGGGCUCUUGGACUAGAGUUUAGAAACUGCUAGGUGACUGCUGGAGUUGGGCAUGAAUAUAAUCCAGUACUUGGAGGCAGAAUAAGGAAGAUCAAGAGUUCAAGAGGGGUUGCCCCAGAAGAGCAGUCCAUCGAAUACUCAGGUGAUCUCAUGUGAACCUUCCUCUCAGGAGGUUUGAGAGUGGGGGCAGGAGAAGAGAGAAGAGGCAAGAGAGGAGGAGAGGACAGAAGAAGAGGAGGAAGCCUCCAUGGACCUGAACCACAUGUCCAGGAGAAACCCUUUGACCCUUACACAUAACAUGUCUCUGCUACCGAUGAAGUUGUUCAUGUCUGCCGUUGUAAGCCCCCCCACUUCACCCCUGCGUGCGGCUCCCGCAUGAAGCCUCAGCAUCGAGACACGAGUAAACUAACAACCCAUAAGCACUGCAGGAUAACAGCUCAGACGUGAGAUUGGAGCUUUGGUGUACUGGUGCUCUUUGAAGUCUUUAAAGGACACUCAGUGUCUCUGAAGGCUGGCCUCAUCGCUGACUCUGAUGCAUCCUGUGCCAGCAGUGUAGCAGCCAGGUGCUGUCAGCACAAGAGCACUCAUGCCUCCCUGCUGAUUCACGGAUGGAUAGGGGACUGUGCGCUUCUCAACUGGGAGGAGCCUUCAAGCAGAAUGACCUCCACCUCUCACUGCUGUCACCAGGUGCCACUCCACCGUUGUUACCUGGGUAACCCUGGAGCCUCAAUCCAGGCAUUUGGAGACCAGGCCAUGAAUGUCUCCAGCAUUCCCUUUAUUUCAUCUUUGACACACUGGAGAAUCGAGGCUCCAGAAAGCUGUGAACAAUCAGUCCAAGUGACCAAGUAAGGUUUCUCCUGAGUACUUCAGCCUUCCAAAAGCUUGGCCUGAGACCUCGCUCUUCAAAACCUGCCCUGUAGAUUUCAAGCACAGCACUCGAUUGCCACCCCGUCUCUCACCCUCACCUUCCAAGUUCUGUUUUCUCAACACAAAAACAAAUACAGGAGAACAGAGAUGUCCUGGUAUCGUGUCUUUAUUCCUAGCACCUGAGGAUAGUAUUCAAUGGGUACUGCUGAAUAACUGAUGUGUCUGAAAGUUGGGCCUGUGCUUGUGGUCAACUUGGGAAACAGCACGCACCAAGGAUGACCUGCAUACUGUAUUUAUGUUGUGUAUUUGUCCAAAUUCACUUGUUUCUCAGUUCUAAAUUCAAUUUGCAGGUACUGUUCAUCAAGAGACCGUCAUCACAUGCCUGCUUGCCUAAGUGGCUCGUGGGAUGAGCUGGCAAAUGUCCCACGUGCCAGGUAAUUUUUGUACAACUAUGAAGCAGUUGUAUCUGUUGGAAAAAGGAAAGGUUGGGCAGUCACAGCUUUAUUAAACAGAGACCAUCCAUUUGCCCAAA